UACGUAGGCAGCGAGCGUUGUUCGGAAUUACUGGGCGUAAAGAGUGUGUAGGCGGUGCUCCCAGUCUGUUGUGAAAUCUCCCGGCUUAACUGGGAGGGUGCAGCGGAAACUAGAGUGCUAGAGGGUGGGAGAGGUAAGCGGAAUUCCUGGUGUAGCGGUGAAAUGCGUAGAUAUCAUUUGGAACGCCAAUGGUGAAAACAGCUCGCUGGGAAUGAUCUGACGCUGAGACGCGAAAGCCAGGGGAGCGAACGGG
RNAcentral lists this ribosomal RNA (253 nucleotides) under uncultured bacterium. RNAcentral's name for it is "partial 16S ribosomal RNA". It matches the Rfam family "Bacterial small subunit ribosomal RNA", at positions 524 to 776 of the family's 1533-position model. The record is from RNAcentral.